RNAcentral lists this ribosomal RNA (209 nucleotides) under uncultured bacterium. RNAcentral describes it as "partial 16S ribosomal RNA". It matches the Rfam family "Bacterial small subunit ribosomal RNA", at positions 524 to 732 of the family's 1533-position model. The record is from RNAcentral.
UACGUAGGGUGCAAGCGUUGUCCGGAAUUAUUGGGCGUAAAGAGCUCGUAGGCGGUCUGUCGCGUCUGCUGUGAAAACUCAGGGCUUAACCCUGAGCUUGCAGUGGGUACGGGCAGACUAGAGUGCGGUAGGGGAGACUGGAAUUCCUGGUGUAGCGGUGAAAUGCGCAGAUAUCAGGAGGAACACCGGUGGCGAAGGCGGGUCUCUGG